Biomphalaria glabrata is the source of this 1803-nucleotide RNA transcript. It is a transcript of the gene named mediator of RNA polymerase II transcription subunit 6-like, with no coding region annotated. The transcript has 9 exons. The record is from RefSeq and is a predicted model, not a curated record. NCBI's taxonomy places the organism in Eukaryota, Metazoa, Mollusca, Gastropoda, Planorbidae.
UUAUUAGUGCAACUUCGUAUAGAUCUACCUAGAUUGUACAAUUGUAGAUCUAGUCCUACUCGGUAUAGAUCUAGAUCUAUGAUAUAGACCUCUAGUAGUAGUAUGAUGUCUGUUAAUUAGAGCUAGACCUAGAUUAGGCUAGAUAUCUAAAUCUAUUUCUAGAUAAUUAGAUCUAGUCUAGACAUAGUGACAGUCAUCUAGUCUAGAUUGACUAGAAUAGAUUCUUGAUAACAAUCAGUGAAAUGACAUAAACUUUAAUUAAAUUUAAAUAAUUUAAAGUAAUAGAAUAGAAUAGAUCUAAAUAAUUAUAACUUAUUAUAAAAUUAAAUGACUUAGAUCUAAAUAAUUAAUAAUAAUAUUAUAUAUAAUAAUAUAUAGACAUAGAGUCAGAGGUCUAUAAAGUAUAUUUACUAGACUAGUGACUAGAUCUAGAUCUAGAAUAAUCUCUAGAGAUCUAAAUAAAACUUAUACUUAAUUGAGUUGACUUAAGUGAAUACUAGUCUACUCGUCAGUAGUCUAGCUUUUUUAGACGAUGGAUCACAAAACAGAAAAUGCAUUAGGGAUAUCCUGGCAUGAUACAGCAUGGGUUCCUCAUCUAAAUCAGAGCAACAUACUGGACUACUUCUCAGAAAGAUCUAAUCCUUUUUAUGACAGGACUUGCAACAAUGAGACUAUUAAGAUGCAGAGACUAAACCCAGAUCAAAUGUUAAACAUGACAGGAUUGGAAUAUUCACUUCUACAUGCACAAGAGCCCAUUCUUUAUGUGAUACGCAAACAACAUCGCCAUUCUCCUACCCAAGUAACUCCCCUGGCUGAUUACUAUAUUAUUGCUGGAACAGUUUAUCAAAGUCCUGAUCUAUGUUCUGUUGUCAAUUCAAGACUGUUAAAUACAUUACAUAAUUUACAGUCAGCAUUUGAUGAAGCUUUAGGCUAUGCAAGAUUUCACCCAUCUCGCGGUUACUCAUGGGAGUUUAAAGUCAAAGAAGAAAAGGAACCUGCUGUUAAAGAUAAAAAAAUAAAAAAAAAAGAAGAAGCUAGUUCUGCAUUCCAAAGACAGAGAGUUGACUUGUUACUGGGAGAACUGGCUAAGAAACAUCCUCCACUUUUUAUGCCACCUCCUCCACAGCCUCCAGUAAAAGUUUCUUAAUGUUUUCUUGAGUUGAGGGGUCCCUCAAUAUAUUUGUUACAUGUGGCUAGAUGUUCCCAAAAAAAAAGUAAUUCCUCCUGAAGAAGUCAAACCUGAAAUAAAAACAGAAAAGCUUGAUGAGAAGUCAGCAGGCAAUGGUAUUAUGAGACCUCCACCAGAAAAAAGACCAAAAUUAAGAUGAUAGUUUGAAGUGCCAUGUUUUAAGAUUAUGGUGCUCUACUCUCAGUACAAUUAUUCCAAUAUGAACUGUUCCACUUGAUUUAUUGAAAAAGUGUCUGGAGAUAUCAGAUGGGCUCAAGCACAAACAUUAAUUGUGCACAAAACUUGACAAUGGUCGUUUAAUUAAAUAGACAUAAAACUUACUAGUUUAAAAUUUUUAGUAGAAAAAAAAAAAAAAUUUGAAUAAAAAUCAUGGAGGAAUUAAACUGCUCAUUCAACAAAAGAAAGUGCAAUUUACUGUCUCCAGUGAUAUGUUAGAGAGAGUAACUUACAUAAAAUAAAAGUUGACAAUGUUUCUAAGGGAUAAAUGUAUGAGUGUUCUGAAUCACAGAGAUUGUCGUACGAGUAUUCUAAAGCAAUAUUUCAGUUGAUCAUGGUUAUUUGUAAACAAAAACAAAUGUAAAUAGUUUAAUAAAGAUUACACACAAAAAUGUAAA